Molecule: ribosomal RNA, 387 nt
Filed under: uncultured bacterium
Lineage: Bacteria
Description: bacterial SSU rRNA
Rfam family: Bacterial small subunit ribosomal RNA
Source: RNAcentral
GACGAACGCUGGCGGCGUGCUUAACACAUGCAAGUCGAGCGGUAAGGCCCUUUCGGGGGUACACGAGCGGCGAACGUGUGAGUAACACGUGGGUGACCUGCCCUCAGCUCUGGGAUAAGCCUGGGAAACUGGGUCUAAUACCGGAUAUGACUCCAUGACGCAUGUUGUGGGGUGGAAAGCCUUGUGCGGCUGAGGAUGGGCCCGCGGCCUAUCAGCUUGUUGGUGGGGGAUGGCCUACCAAGGCGACGACGGGUAGCCGGCCUGAGAGGGCGACCGGCCACACUGGGACUGAGACACGGCCCAGACUCCUACGGGAGGCAGCAGUGGGGAAUCUUGCGCAAUGGGCGAAAGCCUGACGCAGCGACGCCGCGUGAGGGAUGACGGCCU